AGAGUUUGAUCCUGGCUCAGGAUGAACGCUGGCGGCGUGCUUAACACAUGCAAGUCGAACGGACUUUACAUGAAGCCUAGCGAUUGUAAAGUUAGUGGCGGACGGGUGAGUAACGCGUGAAUAACCUGCCCUGUACCGGGGGGACAACAGUUGGAAACGACUGCUAAUACCGCAUAAGCGCACGGUUCCGCAUGGAACAGUGUGAAAAACUCCGGUGGUACAGGAUGGAUUCGGCGUCUGAUUAGCCAGUUGGUGGGGUAACGGCCUACCAAAGCAACGAUCAGUAGCCGGCCUGAGAGGGUGAACGGCCACAUUGGGACUGAGACACGGCCCAAACUCCUACGGGAGGCAGCA
Molecule: ribosomal RNA, 354 nt
Filed under: uncultured bacterium
Lineage: Bacteria
Description: bacterial SSU rRNA
Rfam family: Bacterial small subunit ribosomal RNA
Source: RNAcentral